AAAACACCCAAGUAGCGUAGCAUAAAAGAAAGAAAGAAGAAGAAAGUUAGAAGUGACGAGCGACAAUGAAACUGUCUAUUUUUCUUGCUCUGUUCUUGUUGUUGGGGGAUAUAUCUGCUGCUGAUUAUGAAUUCAUUGCAAAGA
This 144-nucleotide ribosomal RNA is filed under the name Fragilariopsis kerguelensis. Its description in RNAcentral is "partial Bacterial large subunit ribosomal RNA". The record is from RNAcentral. Lineage: Eukaryota; Bacillariophyta; Bacillariophyceae; Bacillariales; Bacillariaceae.